AACGCUAGCUACAGGCUUAACACAUGCAAGUCGAGGGGCAGCAUUGUUGUUGCUUGCAAUAACAGAUGGCGACCGGCGCACGGGUGAGUAACGCGUAUCCAACCUGCCCGUCACUUGGGAAUAACCUUGCGAAAGUAAGACUAAUGCCCAAUGACAUUUAUAGAAGGCAUCGGAAAUGAAUUAAAGAUUUAUCGGUGAUGGAUGGGGAUGCGUCUGAUUAGCUUGUUGGCGGGGUAACGGCCCACCAAGGCGACGAUCAGUAGGGGUUCUGAGAGGAAGGUCCCCCACAUUGGAACUGAGACACGGUCCAAACUCCUACGGGAGGCAGCAGUGAGGAAUAUUGGUCAAUGGGCGAGAGCCUGAACCAGCCAAGUAGCGUGCAGGAUGACGGCCCUAUGGGUUGUAAACUGCUUUUAUAGGGGAAUAAAGUGAGCCACGUGUGGUUUUUUGCAUGUACCCUAUGAAUAAGGACCGGCUAAUUCCGUGCCAGCAGCCGCGGUAAUACGGAAGGUCCGGGCGUUAUCCGGAUUUAUUGGGUUUAAAGGGAGCGUAGGCCGGAGAUUAAGCGUGUUGUGAAAUGUAGACGCUCAACGUCUGCACUGCAGCGCGAACUGGUUUCCUUGAGUACGCAUAAAGUGGGCGGAAUUCGUGGUGUAGCGGUGAAAUGCUUAGAUAUCACGAAAACUCCUAUUG
This 693-nucleotide ribosomal RNA is filed under the name uncultured bacterium. Its description in RNAcentral is "bacterial SSU rRNA". It matches the Rfam family "Bacterial small subunit ribosomal RNA", at positions 32 to 714 of the family's 1533-position model. The record is from RNAcentral.